This is a long non-coding RNA of Sinocyclocheilus grahami, 192 nucleotides long. RefSeq lists it as uncharacterized. The transcript has 3 exons. The record is from RefSeq and is a predicted model, not a curated record. NCBI's taxonomy places the organism in Eukaryota, Metazoa, Chordata, Actinopteri, Cypriniformes, Cyprinidae.
GCAACGACAGAGGCUCGCGCUUUACGGCACGCGGGAACGACGGCGCCCCACAGCCCACGAUCUUUGAAUCUGGACUAAAACAAGACAAUGGCCAAAAGAAAAUCGAAGACGACAGCAGAGUUCAAACCCCCUAAGAGAGCAAAACGACAGAAAAGCACUGAAGCAACAAACCAGUCUGAAGAUGAAAAUCAG